CACAAAGAUUGCUUGGACAAGUGGGUACUUUAUGGUCGGGAAAACUGCCCGUUGUGUCGGGAUUGUUUGACGGCAGCCGCAAUGAAUGUUCCUUUAAAGCUAAAUGAUAAAUAGGUAACAUAGAAUCCAAUUAGAUUCCUGAUUGGAGUUUUACUAUCUUGAGAUUAAAAAAAAAAUACCCUUUGCAAAAAAAAAAAUAUUAUCGAAUAAAUUAAACAUGCAUACCUAAGGGCUAGUCACUACAAGAAAAAAUACCUUGUAUGGUUACGAAAAGUCAUCCGUGGCGGAAAUUCAUCACGAAAAGUCCGUCACGAGGAAAUCCAUCAUGACAAUGGUUGAACCGCCACGAAAAAUCUGCCACCUAUUUCUCCCCCCGAUUUCCAACCGAAAAAAUUAUCAAUGGUAGAAAUUCGUCACAAAUUCGUAAGAUUUUCGCGGGAACCCAAAAAUACAGAACUUUUCGUGGCGAAAGUCCGUCCUACAAGGUCAUUUUUCGUAGUUAGCGGCGAGAAUGGGCCGAGGUCGACCUGAGUCCCGGUUGUUAAGGUUGGAAUAUUACAUGUAUAAUUUUUCCGACCCUAAAAU
This 585-nucleotide long non-coding RNA is filed under the name Zostera marina. Its description in RNAcentral is "long non-coding RNA (ZMAR_LNC002905)". The record is from RNAcentral. Lineage: Eukaryota; Viridiplantae; Streptophyta; Magnoliopsida; Alismatales; Zosteraceae.